This 76-nucleotide transfer RNA is filed under the name Candidatus Moraniibacteriota bacterium. RNAcentral describes it as "Candidatus Moranbacteria bacterium tRNA-Glu". It matches the Rfam family "tRNA". From Rfam's summary of the family: Transfer RNA (tRNA) molecules are approximately 80 nucleotides in length. Their secondary structure includes four short double-helical elements and three loops (D, anti-codon, and T loops). The record is from RNAcentral. Lineage: Bacteria; Candidatus Moraniibacteriota.
GUCCCCUUCGUCUAGAGGCCUAGGACGGUUCCCUCUCACGGAAUCAACGCGAGUUCGAAUCUCGCAGGGGACGCCA